This 73-nucleotide transfer RNA is filed under the name Nanobdellota archaeon. RNAcentral's name for it is "tRNA-Val". It matches the Rfam family "tRNA". Rfam says of the family: Transfer RNA (tRNA) molecules are approximately 80 nucleotides in length. The record is from RNAcentral. Lineage: Archaea; Nanobdellati; Nanobdellota.
GGGCCCAUAGUCUAGCGGUUAUGAUGCCGCCUUCACACGGCGGAGGCCACCGGUUCGAAUCCGGUUGGGCCCA